UCACGCCUGAGGAAAUGUUCUAGUGCUUGUGUACCUUACCUGAAGGAAGUUCUCCCAUCUAAGGAAUCUUAGCUCUUUCCAUAAAAAGCAAAGGAAAAACAAACUCAGCCUCACAGAUUUCUUACACAAGACACUGAAUCAGAGAAUGGAUCAAUGCUCAGGGCUGAGCAGUCACCUGUGCCUGCACAGAAGAAACCUGCCCUUACGUUUGCAAUUACUUUGGUAGGAGAACAUGAUGUAACUAAAUUUUAAAGUGCAAACCGUUGUUUUAGACUGUGUGAAAAUGAGUUUUGGAGCAGAAAGAGUUUAUGUUCUGAAUAUGAGAUGUCAAAUUGCAUAACCUGAAACUUACUGUUAAUUAAAAUGGGUUCUGCUGUAGUUGCUAUAACUACCUGGGUCAUAACAAAUAGCUUGUUAUGCAAUUUCCAAUACAUAUCUGUUUACCAAGUUAAGAACUUAAUGCAGUUUUAUAACAGGUUCACUGAUUCUGUACAAAAGCCUUGAUUUACAGCAGUAGUGACAUGAGGUAAGAGUUAUAAACCUCUCCACAGUGUGGAGACUUAUAUAGGCAAAAGAAGCCUUAAGCUGCUUAUACGAUACCAGUUACAAAGACCAUAACAAAAGGCUUCGUCGGUAAGAUUAUCUGUAUCAUGCAGAUAAACAACACAGCUGCCCCUUCUGCACACUAGCUUAUUUUAAGGGCAGAGUUUAAGGAAAACGGAAUCUUUAGAUAGGAUGCCCAUUUUUAAAUAUGUUUUAAAACCCCUACCCAAAAUGUCAACCAAUCGGAUCUGGGGAGCUACUUGUCCUCAGCAAAUACUCAAGACUGCUCACUCUAAAAAGAGGUGUUCAGAAAAAGGGACAUUAACUGAAUGCCUUUUACAUCAAGCUAAGAAGCUUGCUUUGUCUCGGUUUCCUUACUCAAUUCAUCCAGUUCAAUUCCAUUUAUCACUAUGUGCUGUGUUUGUACUAAGGAAAAUCUUUGUCAGGUACAAUAAGUUGGACUAUCAAGUCUCUUACAAAUAUAUAAUUAAUUGGAGUCUUAAAAGGAAUGAGGAGACCUGUUUAGCAAAAUGAAAAGGUUAUAAAUUAUUUGAAACUGGGGAGGCAAAACCAAGAUGAGCCAACAGAGAUUUGUAAAGAACAAAUCAUGUUAAAAUUGGCUCAUUUCCUUCAGCAACACGGUAUCCAGCUAUGUGGUUAGGGAGAAGAAAUAAGCAUCAUGUACCUUUCCUUUAAAACAUGACAUUAUUUCACAUUACAAUCUUAUAAGCUAGGGAAACAUGGUCUAGAUUGAAUUGCUAUAAACUGGGUGCAAGAGUGGUUCGCUAGUACCUCCCAGAAGACUUGCCAAAUGUUCUCUGUCAAAAUGGAAGCAAAUAUUAAAAGCCUCCCCACGGGGCUUCAGCUUUCAUACAGAUCUGUCCAAUCUUUAAUUAAUGAAAGAAGAGAGGGCAGGCUUCUGUGUAGAAUUAGAGAAAACAUGAAGUCAGGAAGGACUGAAAAUUGGGACUAGCAAUCAAAGAGAACUCAAAAAAGUAGAGAAAUGUUCCAGAAGCAGCUCGGGAGGGAGAAUUACAAGUCGCUAUACUUAGGAACAACCAGCUGCAGAUGUAGCAAGCAGGGAGCAACCAAGUAGACAGCACUCGUCCAGGAAAGGGCCCGAAGGUAAUGUGGUUUUACAUGCUCAAGCAAAAUCGACAGUGUCAUGUUUUCAUGAGACAGGCAGAUGUCACCAUGGUAUGCAUAAACAGAAAUUCAUCCUGAAAAAUAGAUGAAGCAAUCCUCCUGCUCUGCUGAGUGCUUGCAAGACCUCAGCAGGAUACUGAGCCUGCCUCCGGCACUUGGUUUUGGUAAAAGGACAGACCAGCAGAGUUAACCCCAAAGGAAAGAAGGGGUGUGAGGGGUGUGAAGAGGGAGACCUGCAGAGCACUUCUGAAACAACCAGGGUCUCUUCCUCUAGAGAAAGGGGGGUAGAAAGGAAUACCAGGGGAAAUAGUGCUAUCUUUGCCCUCAGGUGGAUAAAGUGCUUUACUGAAAGGAAAGGGAAAAAUUUCUUCUCCAUGCCUGUGCCAGUUAAGGAAAAAAUUACAGGGUUGCCUCACUUGCCCAUCUGCAGUCACUUUUUAAAUAGUUAGGAUAGUGAGCAAUCAAUUUGGUCAAACUUCUGUCAAAAAAUGACACUAAUAUAUUACUUCACCACUUUGAUGAAAGACUGAUUUCUGAAGGUCCCUCUCAGCCAGAUGUUUUUAAUACAGUAUAUAGACACAUACUGCCUAAAGUUUGUCUGUAACAUAUAUAAUUCAUUAUUGAAAAAUUAAUUUUCAAAUGAUUGGAUGACACCACCAAUGCUUUGCAGUCAAAUAGGACUGACUCAUAACCUUUGCUUAAAACACAGACAAAAAGGGAUAUGAAAAAACUCUGUAUUAGGAGUAGGUAUUUAUGCAAAAUUACACUCAUUAUUCUUUUCAUUUAUUUACUAAUUGUUAAAAUAGUCUGGUAAAAAGACACUAAGAGUAGGCAUAAGUAUUAAGCUGGGUAUUUAACCUCAAAGUGAUACUGUGUAAACAGAUGCAUUGUAAAUAUUUAAAAUUCUAUGAUUAAGCCUCACAUUAACCCUUAUUAACAGACUUUGAGUGCAUAGAACAAGAAUAUUACCCAUACUCCUUCCCUAAGCAAUGUCCUGUUAGAAAGAAUGUUGAUAAGCCCAACCUCAGAAAAAAAAGUGUGUAAUCUUUUUCUGCCUGUUUCUGCAGUGUGGGUCACUGGGUUACAUGCUCGAAGCUGAACUGGAAUUAGUUAUUUUAUUUAUGAAUACUGUGUGCAUAUCAUUUCAUUGCUAUGAAACAGUGAAAGAUGCAAAGUAUUAAAGAGUUCUAUGUUCCAGAUUUACAAUAAGUAUCUCAGGUGGCUGGAGGGGAGUUCCCAUAACAAUCACCAGAGAGGUUUGCAGAUGUGAUUUUUCCAUGCCUUUUUUAAAAUAUGCAAAUGGAAACACAAAUAUUUUAAGGUUCUUAAACUUUAUUCUGCCUGUAUGUGAGAGAAUUAACUGUUCAUAAAAUUCUUACAUUUUACAAGAUUCAUUUUCCAGAAGGAAUUCUGAAUUAUACAGUUUAGUGCAUAAAGUUUUGUUUUUUUUUUUUUUGACAAAGGCAAUUAUAGUGGUUAGCUGGUUAGUUCUCUUGAGUACAUAUGCCUCUAAUGUUCAUACAAGCUUAUUUCAGAUAUUGAGAAACAGCAUAGGGCCUCAUGCUUAUAUUAUUGCUGAGACAUCAAAGUACCUUUUCGUCCCAGGCCUUGGAAAAAAAGUCCAGGUAUAGUGGGUUGACCUUGGCUGGGUUACAAGUGCCACCAAGCCUAUCAUUCCCCUUCCCAGCAGGACAGAGGAGAGAAAAUAAGAUGGGAAAUGACUAGUAAGGUGCGAUAAGGCAGUUUACUAAAGGAAGAAAAAGAAAAGCGAAUGCUUGUGAACACAUAAGCAAAGGGGAAAAAAAUUAAUCUCCAGGUUGAUGCAAGUACAGACCCACCAUCAGUGAAAGAAGAGUAUAAGCACUGUUGCAAGAACUUGACCCCUACGAGUCAAUGGGCCCUGGCAAUAUCCACACGCGGGUGUCGAGAGAGCUGGCGGAUGUCAUUGAGAGGCUGCUCUACAUAAUGGUUGAAAAGUCAUGGAUAUCAGGGGAUGCCCCAGAAGUCUGGAAGAAGGCUAAUGUCACUGCCAUCAAGAAGAAGGGCUUAAAGUAGGAUCAAGGAAAUUACAGAGCAAGGGAAUCCUCCAGGGGGCGAACACAAGUCAGAUGAAGCACAUGAUUGGAAAAAACCAGCUUAGAUUCACCCAGGGGCAAAUCAUCCUUGACAAACCUGAUCACCUCUCUGACAAAGUAACCUGCUCAGCUGAUGUGGGACUAGUCAUGGACACUGUCUACCUGAAUUUCUCCAAGACUUUCUCUAUAGUGUUCUACAGCCCCCUCCUAGAGCAAAUGAUGUGUUAUGGUCUAGAUGAGUGGUCCAUGCACUGGGUGGGAAACUCCUGGCAAGCAGCACCCACUGGGUUGUGGUAAAUGGCUCCUUUCCAAACUGGCAACCUGUCACAAGUGGUCUAUACUGGGUCCAACGCUGUUUGAUAUCUCCAUAAGCAACCUGGAAGAUGGGAUAAGCUCACAAAGUUUGCUGAGGGUACCAAACCAAGUGAGAGUGUAGAGCUUCUUCUUUGGAAGGAAGAGCUACACCGCAGGAAGUCCUAGAUAGACUGGGUUAAGGACCUUAUGAAGUUCAACAAGGACAAGUGUAGUCUUACAACUGGGAAAAUAUAACCCAGGAGAGCAACAGGCUGGGAUAUACCAAGCUGGGGAACAGCUCUAUGGAAAGGUUCUUUGUUAGUCCUGGUGGGAAAACUCGUUGCGAGUGAAUGAUGUGCUGCAGUGGCAAAAAAAAGGAUCUAAGAAGCUGUUGGGUUUUAUCAAAAAAACAUCACUACCAGAGAUAAAGAAGUCGUUGUCCCACUCUACUCAGGGCUUUACAGGCCAUACCUGAAAUACUGUAUUUAGCUUUGGUCCAUGCUGUAUGAAAAAAGGCUGAUGAAAAUCCAGGGAAGGGUGUCAGAAAUGAGUAUUUUAAGGUCCCUUAAAGACUCACUGACAGAGUUAUCAACAAAACCAGAUUUUAUAUGAGAGCAACAGGACUGGGAAGUCUGCCAUGUGAAGAAAGGUUGUGAGAGCUGGGUUUUUUCAGCCUUGAGAAAAGAAGGCUUGGGAAAGACCUUAUCAUCACCUUCCAGUAUUUAAAAGCUGUGUACAAAGAAGAUGGAGAAUACCUCUUUCAAAGAGUCGAUUAGCCACUGGAAUAAUCUCAGGGAAGCGGUGGAUUCCCCAGUAUUGGAUACCUUUAAGAUUCAUCUGGACAGGGUGCUGGGCCAGCCUAUCUAGACCACGUUUUUUCCAAGAAAGUUUGGACCAAGUGAUCCUUCUCUUCCAACCUGUUAAUCUAUGACUCUAUGAUUUUCCUGCUUCCUCUGGAACAUUUACCAAUGGACAGCUCUUUGAUCCGCACUGAUAAAUGUGUCAUGGCCGGGAAGCAGAAAACUGUGGAGAUCCUGAAGUCAGAAAUGAGAACUCUCACAAGAGGAAAAGGUGGAGAACCUGGGAUGGGAGGUUGGCCUUCUACACUGCGAGGAGUAUGAUGCUGACAGUGGGUUUUCUCCUGCUCCCUGCUCUAAGGACCUCCUCAAGUCACAGACAGUCGCUCUGCCAGCAGGGGCUCAGCGAGGAAGACCCAGGCAUGAUCACCUGGCACAGACUCAGGUGCUGCAAUGAAGAGGAUGGAAAAACUUUUAUGGAGAAGUUGUUACAGGGACCAUGACUACAGGGCUCUUGUCAGCCACAGUGGAGCUGCUGUUGUGGACAAAAGCCACAAAACUGCUUUGGGAAGUGCUUCUUUGAAAAAGCAAGGCUGUGGAUUAACUCACCUUCCCCUGAGAGAAUGUACCUCUUUACAACCAAAAUCUUUCUUGAGAGGUCACUGACGAAUUCGGGCUAUUACCCAGUGGUGUUGUUUUCACGGUUGCUGGCCACUAGUAUGUGAAUUUUUGUAAAUAUGGGCUCUGCCUAAGGACCGUAGUGGUGAAGUCUCCUAACCCAAGAGUAGAGAAGAAAGAUUGCAGAGGCAGUUCUAUAUAACUUUGUUUGAGAACAAUUUUACCUGAAAGUAAAGCAUAUUUUAAUGUGACUGCCUUCAAAACUGACUUGUAUUACACUUAUUUCCCCACUUUUCCGACUGAAAAUAAAAAAGUCACAGUUAAUCAACAGUUAA
Molecule: long non-coding RNA, 5808 nt
Organism: Corvus hawaiiensis (hawaiian crow)
Lineage: Eukaryota; Metazoa; Chordata; Aves; Passeriformes; Corvidae
Exons: 5
Source: RefSeq, a predicted model, not a curated record